Lingula anatina is the source of this 2015-nucleotide long non-coding RNA. Lineage: Eukaryota; Metazoa; Brachiopoda; Lingulata; Lingulida; Lingulidae. The record is from RefSeq and is a predicted model, not a curated record.
CGGGGCUGUGUACUUGCAUCAAGAAGUAGGUCAAUUAAAGCCGCGGCAUCUCUAGUCUGUGGAGGCAGGAAAAUUGUACAACAAAGUCGAAUGGAGGCCAAGCGUCUUCAAUCGAAAUGGAUCGUCUGUAAGUAUAUUUAUUUUCACGCACUGUCCAAAGGGCGAUCCAGUGAUGAUAUAUGGACACUGAAGAAACUACAGCUAAGCUCGCCAGAAAUGCCUUAGCACAUAUAUUGGAAUCAAGGCUAAUGGCAGAGUUUCACUUUCUGACGCAAGGAAGAGCGCUACGUGUUAGACAAAAGGGAGUUAGGACAGUAAGUCUUAUGCCAAAACAGGUACUUCUUAGGCGUGUUUUCUAACAGCCAAAUAAAAUUAAACUUUGUUCUUUAGUUUCAAAGGGAUCAUUUAAAUAAUUACUUGAAGUUUAAAAUGUAAAUUUGAGCAGUAUCAAUUGAAGAUAUAAGUUGAUGAAAAAUUACGUUUGGCAGUUUGUAACAAUUUGCAUGGCUGUAUAUGUAUGUGUAGUGUAAUAUUCAUGUCAUUCCUUUGUCACUAUCUUGUUUUUUACAACCCUGUUACACAUGCAUAGUUUUAGGUUUUAUAUUUAGAAACCUUUGUUUGGUGGUGGUGAUUGGGGGGGAGGGGGUUGAACAUAAAUAUUUGGCCAUAAAUAUUUUACUUAUGUGCUUCAUAUGAUGAUUACAAAUUCAGUUUGUGUCAUGUUGCACUUGAAACUGCCUAGUGUACAUUGUGUCCUUUGGUGAAGUCAGAGACACUGUGAAGAAUGAUUGUGGCAUCAAGAUACACCUUUUCUUCUGCUGCUAGGAUGCUGUGUGAAGAGGAGGGGUAAGUAUAGGACCCGAAGGACAAACUCAUCUGAUGAGGUGCUCUGCUUUCUGUGAUCUUCUUGGCUGAGAUAUGGUAAAUGCAAUUACUCUAAAGACUAGGAAAAUGGAAGGAAGACACUGAACUUCAAAUUUGCCAAGUAAGUUGAGAAGAAUUCCAGAGCCACACAGCAUACUGCAGUGUCAGCAAGAAAGAUCUCAUGGGUUCCAUGUGGGCAUGAUGGACAUGUUAAGUUUGACUAGUUGAUGAGAGAAAAAAAAGGGAAUAGGAACACUAUUGCACCUACCUACAUUACUUUCAAAACAACUGAGGUUAGUUACAGGGCAGUGGCAACUUCACACUUUUAUUGAUGGAUUCUGAAGACCAUUACCAGAUGUAUAAUAAUCAAAUAUCAUCAGAAAUGAAGGGCACGUUAAUUAUUCCAAAGAGUGAAAGUAGUACAAAUCAAAGGAAAAUAUUUUGAUGGUAAUCAAUAUGAGCUCACUCAGAGGUCACUCACAGGGGCCAGUCUUAACAGAAUUGACAAGGUCAUCAUCCCUGUGCUUGACUUUAUUAAGACAUGUCAUGUAGGUGGUGAUGGAGUUAACUUUUGGAUAAUAUAUAAGGAAUUAUCUGUAUCAAUCAUCUGCUGCUAAUGUUAUACAUUCAUUAGUCACUUCUAGGCUGGGAUGUCCAGAUGAUAGGAUUAAAAGAUAACAAUGCAUUCAGAAUAUUUCAGCACAGCUUUUCAUGUAACAGCCUAGAAACUCGUCACAUUAUUCCAGUUUUAAAGCAGCUGCAUUGGUUAUCAGUUAGGGCUAGAAAUUUAAAAUAUUUAGUUUUUACACGUUGCAUUCUCUUAUGUAGCUCCAGCAUAUAUAACUGAUCUGGUAAAAAAUCAUAACUCCUACCGAAAAUUGCCAUUAUAGCAGGGUAAAAAAAAUAUAUGGUGACAUGUAAUUUUGUAUAGCUUCACUGUUGGAGUGGAACAAGGUGUCAAUUUACUGAAGGCAGAUAGAAACAGAAAUCUCUUAUAAGGAAUUAAACACACAUUUUUAAAGAUGUUUUAUUGACGAAUUUUGUUCAAUUUUUAAAAUAUACAUUAUGUAAGGGAAGUAUUGGGUCUUUUAAUUACUGCUUAGUCAAACGUUUUAACAUUUAUAAUUAAUAUAAUAUAUAUAACUGUAAUA